Molecule: long non-coding RNA, 2041 nt
Filed under: Sus scrofa (pig)
Lineage: Eukaryota; Metazoa; Chordata; Mammalia; Artiodactyla; Suidae
Description: lncRNA (ENSSSCG00015030668.1)
Source: RNAcentral
UUUUCCAGUUCUGGCUUCAAUUCCUUGGGUCCCCCUUGGACUUUUGUAUAAAAGCUCCUCUAGGAUUUUCAGAUCUCUGUACUUGGCAUCUCUCUCGAGGAGGUGGCUGGCAUUCUAGGUAGAGCUGUCACUCAUUUCUUUGUGCUUUCACUAGCACACAACACACACACUGCCAUUAAGGCAUCUGCCCUGUAAUACUCUGACUUUGCAAUACCAGACUGCAAGCCCCUUGAAGGCAGAGACUGUGUGUUGGUCCACCUGAUAUUGUCAGCAUUUUGUAUCAGGCCUGCCUGAUCACCCACCCCUCCUGCAUGGCUGCCCUACAAAGAAUCAAACAUACAAGGAACGGCUGUGCACGGGUAGUCUUACAUUGAGGGAGAUGCAAUAACAGUACAGGAGGCUCUCCAGGUACUGAUAAGACCUUGAUUUUAAGAUCAACAGUCAAGGCUAAGACUGAUUAAUCUUUUCAUUGAAAUAUAAACUUGCUAAUGGUAGAUAUGUGUGAUUUUUAUUUCAUGGCAUUCCAACUUGCUCUUUCUAACUCAGUGUUCACAUGAGCAUAUUUCCAGCAACUGAAGUUUUGAAUAAUACCUACUGGAGAGCCACCCAUCAUUAAGCAAGCACUGACUACAAAGAGUAAGAGAAUGAAUAUGUAGAUAAUGGAACUACUCUGGUUUCCCCUUUCCACUGGAAUUUGUAACCCAUUAAAAACAAGUUGGGUUUGAUCACCUUUAAGUUAUAAGAGACUCAAAAUCCUAUGGUUCAAGGAUGUAGUUUUAAGGCUUUUUAAUUUAUUGUUUGGCCAUACCCAUGGCUUAAGGGAUUUAAAUAAAAACUGAAAUGACUUCGAAGUGAACAAGGUACCAUUAACUUGAGGAAGAUAAGUCUGAUGAUUGAGCAGUGGAUCAAGUGACCUAAUUGCUUUGAUAAUAACCAAAAAAAAAAAAAAAAAAAAAAAGACUGGAAGCUCAAAUACUAAAGACUAAAAGUCAAUUUAGCAUUCCUAGACUCAGGCAACAAACAACGGUGGACAAAUGGAAUAUCUUUAAUACUGGCCACCAAUUUGACAAAAAUAACAUUCGUGAUUUUAAGUGAAAGUCAUGCUUAUAUAUCCUUAUAUUUAUCUAAUAAAAAGAAUCCAAAAAUAUUUUCAUAAUGAAUCAGAGGUACAAGACAUUAAUUGUAGCAAGUGUACUUCCCGUAUCAGUAGGAAUGCUGAUUGUUAAUUGAAUUACAUUAUGAAAAGUGCAUGUAUGAAAGCAAAGCUAACAAGUGAGUCUUAAAACGCUUACAUUCCUCUCAGAGCAAAGAAGCCCCAAAUAAAACCAUGACCUAGAAAUCACUGGCUCAAAGGCAGGUCAUCUUCACCUCAGUUUCUUGAUCCAUGAAAUAGGAAACAAUUUGACAAAAUUUGAGGUGAUGUAGAAUUUAGCAAAGCAACCGCCUAAGGUGUGCUUGCAUUAUACACCCUUCACUGAACCCUUGUGUGUGUGUGUGUGUGUGUUUUCAGCUAUUAGUCAUUACACAAAGCAGAGGUUUAGAGAAUGGUCUACAAUUUUCUGGAUUAAUUUCUUUAAUCCUGCUACCAAUUUAAUCAUCUUCAAAUCUCAGGAAAGUCUUUGUACAGCCUUUGAAUAUAAAUGCUUUAAUUUAAUUUGCUUUAAAAUUCAGUUUCAGGUCAUCUUAGUGGUACCAAGAGAUACUUUUAAAUUCCAGAUUGCGCUUACAUUAAAAGCACUUCACAUUAACAAGGUAUCUCCAGAUAUACUCCAAAUCAGAAGAAGCCAACCAUGUGUGGGGGAUGAAGAGUGAGCAGCCGAAGAUGAGAGGAGGGAAGGAAUUCUCAGAAGAUGCAUCUGAGGAUAAGGAACUUAGGGACAAAACAAACAAAAUGACUCUAUUUAUAUGAUCUGUGCUUAGAUGUUUAAAGAGUGAUUUCAAUGGAAAGGUCUGGGAGAGGAUUAAAGGCACUAGUGUUCUCUGAUAUAUCUAAUUAAGCAGCAGAAGCUGAAGAAGGAUGCUAUAAGCCAUCGUUUUUGCC